GAUGAACGCUGGCGGCGUGCCUAACACAUGCAAGUCGAACGGAGAUUACGGACGGAAGUUUUCGGAUGGAAGCCUGUAAUUCUUAGUGGCGGACGGGUGAGUAACGCGUGGGCAACCUGCCCUAUACAGGGGGAUAGCAGCUGGAAACGGCUGGUAAGACCGCAUAAGUCGGUUAAAUCGCAUGAUUUGAUCGGGAAAUGAGCAAUCAGGUAUAGGAUGGGCCCGCGUCCGAUUAGCCAGUUGGCAGGGUAAAAGCCUACCAAAGCGACGAUCGGUAGCCGGACUGAGAGGUCGGACGGCCACAUUGGGACUGAGACACGGCCCAAACUCCUACGGGAGGCAGCAGUGGGGGAUAUUGCACAAUGGAGGAAACUCUGAUGCAGCGACGCCGCGUGAGUGAAGAGGUAUUUCGGUAUGUAAAGCUCUAUCAGCAGGGAAGAUGAUGACGGUACCUGACGAAGAAGCCCCGGCUAACUACGUG
This 481-nucleotide ribosomal RNA is filed under the name uncultured bacterium. RNAcentral describes it as "partial 16S ribosomal RNA". It matches the Rfam family "Bacterial small subunit ribosomal RNA", at positions 28 to 507 of the family's 1533-position model. The record is from RNAcentral.